GAUGAACGCUGGCGGCGUGCCUAAUACAUGCAAGUCGAGCGAACAGACGAGGAGCUUGCUCCUCUGACGUUAGCGGCGGACGGGUGAGUAACACGUGGAUAACCUACCUAUAAGACUGGGAUAACUUCGGGAAACCGGAGCUAAUACCGGAUAAUAUAUUGAACCGCAUGGUUCAAUAGUGAAAGACGGUUUUGCUGUCACUUAUAGAUGGAUCCGCGCCGCAUUAGCUAGUUGGUAAGGUAACGGCUUACCAAGGCAACGAUGCGUAGCCGACCUGAGAGGGUGAUCGGCCACACUGGAACUGAGACACGGUCCAGACGCCUACGGGAGGCAGCAGUAGGGAAUCUGCCGCAAUGGGCGAAAGCCUGACGGAGCAACGCCGCGUGAGUGAUGAAGGUCUUCGGAUCGUAAAACUCUGUUAUUAGGGAAGAACAAAUGUGUAAGUAACUAUGCACGUCUUGACGGUACCUAAUCAGAAAGCCACGGCUAACUACGUG
RNAcentral lists this ribosomal RNA (497 nucleotides) under uncultured bacterium. RNAcentral's name for it is "partial 16S ribosomal RNA". It matches the Rfam family "Bacterial small subunit ribosomal RNA", at positions 28 to 507 of the family's 1533-position model. The record is from RNAcentral.